GCAGCUCUAAAUGGGUGGUAAAUUUCAUCUAAAGCUAAAUACUGGCCGGAGACCGAUAGCGCACAAGUAGAGUGAUCGAAAGAUGAAAAGCACUUUGAAAAGAGAGUUAAACAGCACGUGAAAUUGUUGAAAGGGAAGCGAUUGCGAUCAGACUCGCCUGCGGGGUUCAGCCGGCAUUCGUGCCGGUGUACUUCCCCGUGGGCGGGCCAGCGUCGGUUCGGGUGGCCGGUCAAAGGCCCCGGGAAUGUGUCGCCCUCCGGGGCGUCUUAUAGCCCGGGGUGCCAUGCGGCCUACCUGGACCGAGGAACGCGCUUCGGCUCGGACGCUGGCGUAAUGGUCGUAAGCGACCCGUCUUGAAACACGGACCAAGGAGUCUAACAUCUACGUGAGUGUUUGGGUGGCAAACCCAUACGCGCAGUGAAAGCGAACGGAGGUGGGAACCCUUCGGGGCGCACCAUCGACCGAUCCUGAUGUCUUCGGAUGGAUUUGAGUAAGAGCGUAGCUGUGGGGACCCGAAAGAUGGUGAACUAUGCCUGAAUAGGGCGAAGCCAGAGGAAACUCUGGUGGAGGCUCGCAGCGGUUCUGACGUGCAAAUCGAUCGUCAAAUUUGGGUAUAGGGGCGAAAGACUAAUCGAGCCAUCG
Molecule: unclassified non-coding RNA, 642 nt
Filed under: Monascus purpureus
Lineage: Eukaryota; Fungi; Ascomycota; Eurotiomycetes; Eurotiales; Aspergillaceae
Description: sequence contains 28S rRNA gene
Rfam family: Eukaryotic large subunit ribosomal RNA
Source: RNAcentral